UAGAAAAUGGUGUAAGGAAGCACCGGGAUUUUUGAUUUCCCUGGUAGGGGUUCGAUUCCUCUUUUUCUAA
Molecule: transfer RNA, 70 nt
Filed under: Pethia gelius (golden barb)
Lineage: Eukaryota; Metazoa; Chordata; Actinopteri; Cypriniformes; Cyprinidae
Description: tRNA-Gln
Rfam family: tRNA
About the family: Transfer RNA (tRNA) molecules are approximately 80 nucleotides in length. Their secondary structure includes four short double-helical elements and three loops (D, anti-codon, and T loops). Further hydrogen bonds mediate the characteristic L-shaped molecular structure. tRNAs have two regions of fundamental functional importance: the anti-codon, which is responsible for specific mRNA codon recognition, and the 3' end, to which the tRNAs corresponding amino acid is attached (by aminoacyl-tRNA synthetases). tRNAs cope with the degeneracy of the genetic code in two manners: having more than one tRNA (with a specific anti-codon) for a particular amino acid; and 'wobble' base-pairing, i.e. permitting non-standard base-pairing at the 3rd anti-codon position.
Source: RNAcentral